RNAcentral lists this transfer RNA (89 nucleotides) under Kaistia sp. Its description in RNAcentral is "tRNA-Ser". Lineage: Bacteria; Pseudomonadati; Pseudomonadota; Alphaproteobacteria; Hyphomicrobiales; Kaistiaceae. The record is from RNAcentral.
GGCUAUAGCGAUUUUGGACCAAGGCACCGCACUCGAAAUGCGGCAUACUCGCAAGGGUAUCGGGAGUUCGAAUCUCCCCCUCUCCGCCA